AUCCAACUGAAGAGUCCCUAAACAGGAAGAAACGCGAGUCCUGGAU
Non-coding RNA from Schistosoma curassoni, 46 nucleotides. NCBI's taxonomy places the organism in Eukaryota, Metazoa, Platyhelminthes, Trematoda, Strigeidida, Schistosomatidae. The record is from Rfam.